This 2933-nucleotide ribosomal RNA is filed under the name Salmonella enterica subsp. enterica serovar Newport str. CVM N18486. RNAcentral describes it as "bacterial LSU rRNA". It matches the Rfam family "Bacterial large subunit ribosomal RNA". The record is from RNAcentral. Lineage: Bacteria; Pseudomonadati; Pseudomonadota; Gammaproteobacteria; Enterobacterales; Enterobacteriaceae.
GGGUUGUGAGGUUAAGCGACUAAGCGUACACGGUGGAUGCCCUGGCAGUCAGAGGCGAUGAAGGGCGUGCUAAUCUGCGAUAAGCGCCGGUAAGGUGAUAUGAACCGUUAUAACCGGCGAUACCCGAAUGGGGAAACCCAGUGUGACUCGUCACACUAUCAUUAACUGAAUCCAUAGGUUAAUGAGGCGAACCGGGGGAACUGAAACAUCUAAGUACCCCGAGGAAAAGAAAUCAACCGAGAUUCCCCCAGUAGCGGCGAGCGAACGGGGAGGAGCCCAGAGCCUGAAUCAGCAUGUGUGUUAGUGGAAGCGUCUGGAAAGGCGCGCGAUACAGGGUGACAGCCCCGUACACAAAAGCGCAUGUGCUGUGAGCUCGAUGAGUAGGGCGGGACACGUGGUAUCCUGUCUGAAUAUGGGGGGACCAUCCUCCAAGGCUAAAUACUCCUGACUGACCGAUAGUGAACCAGUACCGUGAGGGAAAGGCGAAAAGAACCCCGGCGAGGGGAGUGAAAAAGAACCUGAAACCGUGUACGUACAAGCAGUGGGAGCACAGGUUUACCUGUGUGACUGCGUACCUUUUGUAUAAUGGGUCAGCGACUUAUAUUCUGUAGCAAGGUUAACCGAAUAGGGGAGCCGGAGGGAAACCGAGUCUUAAUUGGGCGUUAAGUUGCAGGGUAUAGACCCGAAACCCGGUGAUCUAGCCAUCGGCAGGUUGAAGGUUGGGUAACACUAACUGGAGGACCGAACCGACUAAUGUUGAAAAAUUAGCGGAUGACCUGUGGCUGGGGGUGAAAGGCCAAUCAAACCGGGAGAUAGCUGGUUCUCCCCGAAAGCUAUUUAGGUAGCGCCUCGUGAACUCAUCUCCGGGGGUAGAGCACUGUUUCGGCUAGGGGGCCAUCCCGGCUUACCAACCCGAUGCAAACUGCGAAUACCGGAGAAUGUUAUCACGGGAGACACACGGCGGGUGCUAACGUCCGUCGUGAAGAGGGAAACAACCCAGACCGCCAGCUAAGGUCCCAAAGUCAUGGUUAAGUGGGAAACGAUGUGGGAAGGCCCAGACAGCCAGGAUGUUGGCUUAGAAGCAGCCAUCAUUUAAAGAAAGCGUAAUAGCUCACUGGUCGAGUCGGCCUGCGCGGAAGAUGUAACGGGGCUAAACCAUGCACCGAAGCUGCGGCAGCGACACUGUGUGUUGUUGGGUAGGGGAGCGUUCUGUAAGCCUGUGAAGGUGGCCUGUGAGGGUUGCUGGAGGUAUCAGAAGUGCGAAUGCUGACAUAAGUAACGAUAAAGCGGGUGAAAAGCCCGCUCGCCGGAAGACCAAGGGUUCCUGUCCAACGUUAAUCGGGGCAGGGUGAGUCGACCCCUAAGGCGAGGCCGAAAGGCGUAGUCGAUGGGAAACAGGUUAAUAUUCCUGUACUUGGUGUUACUGCGAAGGGGGGACGGAGAAGGCUAUGUUGGCCGGGCGACGGUUGUCCCGGUUUAAGCGUGUAGGUGUGUGUUCCAGGUAAAUCCGGUUCACUUUAACACUGAGGCGUGAUGACGAGGCACUACGGUGCUGAAGCAACAAAUGCCCUGCUUCCAGGAAAAGCCUCUAAGCAUCAGGUAACAUCAAAUCGUACCCCAAACCGACACAGGUGGUCAGGUAGAGAAUACCAAGGCGCUUGAGAGAACUCGGGUGAAGGAACUAGGCAAAAUGGUGCCGUAACUUCGGGAGAAGGCACGCUGACACGUAGGUGAAGUGAUUUACUCAUGGAGCUGAAGUCAGUCGAAGAUACCAGCUGGCUGCAACUGUUUAUUAAAAACACAGCACUGUGCAAACACGAAAGUGGACGUAUACGGUGUGACGCCUGCCCGGUGCCGGAAGGUUAAUUGAUGGGGUCAGCGCAAGCGAAGCUCCUGAUCGAAGCCCCGGUAAACGGCGGCCGUAACUAUAACGGUCCUAAGGUAGCGAAAUUCCUUGUCGGGUAAGUUCCGACCUGCACGAAUGGCGUAAUGAUGGCCAGGCUGUCUCCACCCGAGACUCAGUGAAAUUGAACUCGCUGUGAAGAUGCAGUGUACCCGCGGCAAGACGGAAAGACCCCGUGAACCUUUACUAUAGCUUGACACUGAACAUUGAGCCUUGAUGUGUAGGAUAGGUGGGAGGCUUUGAAGCGUGGACGCCAGUCUGCGUGGAGCCGACCUUGAAAUACCACCCUUUAAUGUUUGAUGUUCUAACGUGGACCCGUUACCCGGGUUGCGGACAGUGUCUGGUGGGUAGUUUGACUGGGGCGGUCUCCUCCUAAAGAGUAACGGAGGAGCACGAAGGUUGGCUAAUCCUGGUCGGACAUCAGGAGGUUAGUGCAAUGGCAUAAGCCAGCUUGACUGCGAGCGUGACGGCGCGAGCAGGUGCGAAAGCAGGUCAUAGUGAUCCGGUGGUUCUGAAUGGAAGGGCCAUCGCUCAACGGAUAAAAGGUACUCCGGGGAUAACAGGCUGAUACCGCCCAAGAGUUCAUAUCGACGGCGGUGUUUGGCACCUCGAUGUCGGCUCAUCACAUCCUGGGGCUGAAGUAGGUCCCAAGGGUAUGGCUGUUCGCCAUUUAAAGUGGUACGCGAGCUGGGUUUAGAACGUCGUGAGACAGUUCGGUCCCUAUCUGCCGUGGGCGCUGGAGAACUGAGGGGGGCUGCUCCUAGUACGAGAGGACCGGAGUGGACGCAUCACUGGUGUUCGGGUUGUCAUGCCAAUGGCACUGCCCGGUAGCUAAAUGCGGAAGAGAUAAGUGCUGAAAGCAUCUAAGCACGAAACUUGCCCCGAGAUGAGUUCUCCCUGAGACUUAGAGUCUCCUGAAGGAACGUUGAAGACGACGACGUUGAUAGGCCGGGUGUGUAAGCGCAGCGAUGCGUUGAGCUAACCGGUACUAAUGAACCGUGAGGCUUAACCUUACAACGCCGAAGCUGUU